This 459-nucleotide ribosomal RNA is filed under the name uncultured bacterium. RNAcentral's name for it is "partial 16S ribosomal RNA". It matches the Rfam family "Bacterial small subunit ribosomal RNA", at positions 338 to 795 of the family's 1533-position model. The record is from RNAcentral.
CCUACGGGAGGCAGCAGUGAGGAAUAUUGGUCAAUGGCCGGAAGGCUGAACCAGCCAAGCCGCGUGAAGGACGAAGGUGCCAAGCAUUGUAAACUUCUUUUGUCAAGGGACAAAAUCAGGCUCGAGAGCCUGACCGAGGGUACUUGAAGAAAAAGCAUCGGCUAACUCCGUGCCAGCAGCCGCGGUACUACGGAGGGUGCGAGCGUUGUCCGGAUUUAGUGGGUUUAAAGGGUGCGUAGGGGGACUGUGAAGUCAGCGGUAAAAGCCCGGGGCUCAACCCCGGCGAGCCGUUGAAACUGGCUGUCUUGAGAUGUCGAGAGGUAUGCGGAAUGCGCAGUGUAGCGGUGAAAUGCUGAGAUAUGGCGCAGAACGCCGAUUGCGAAGGCAGCAUACCGGCGGCGAUCUGACGCUGAGGCACGAAAGCGUGGGUAUCGAACAGGAUUAGAUACCCUUGUAGUC